Molecule: ribosomal RNA, 468 nt
Filed under: uncultured bacterium
Lineage: Bacteria
Description: partial 16S ribosomal RNA
Rfam family: Bacterial small subunit ribosomal RNA
Source: RNAcentral
GACGAACGCUGGCGGCGUGCUUAACACAUGCAAGUCGAACGGAAAGGCCCUGCUUUUGUGGGGUGCUCGAGUGGCGAACGGGUGAGUAACACGUGAGUAACCUGCCCUUGACUUUGGGAUAACUUCAGGAAACUGGGGCUAAUACCGGAUAGGAGCUCCUGCUGCAUGGUGGGGGUUGGAAAGUUUCGGCGGUUGGGGAUGGACUCGCGGCUUAUCAGCUUGUUGGUGGGGUAGUGGCUUACCAAGGCUUUGACGGGUAGCCGGCCUGAGAGGGUGACCGGACAAAUGGGAGAGGGACAAGGGACAAGCGCCUACGGGGGGCAGCAGGGGGGGAGGGUGGACGAGGGACGGGAGGCGGGUGCAGGAAAGGCGGGGGGGGGAUGAAGGGCGUGGGGUUGGAAACCGGGUUGAACCGGGACGAAACUGGGUGUGACGGGAGCAGGAGAAGAAGCACCGGAUAACUACGUG